CCCUUAGAUGUUCUGGGCCGCACGCGCGCUACACUGACGAAUGCAACGAGCUUAUAACCUUGGCCGAAAGGUCUGGGUAAUCUCCAAAUUUCGUCGUGAUGGGGAUAGAUUAUUGCAAUUAUUAAUCUUCAACGAGGAAUUCCUAGUAAGCGCGAGUCAUCAGCUCGCGUUGAUUACGUCCCUGCCCUUUGUACACACCGCCCGUCGCUCCUACCGAUUGAAUGGUCCGGUGAAAUGUUCGGAUCGCGGCAAAUCGGACGGGUAACCGUCAGGUUCGCUGCGAGAAGUUCAUUAAACCUUAUCAUUUAGAGGAAGGAGAAGUCGUAACA
RNAcentral lists this ribosomal RNA (329 nucleotides) under uncultured eukaryote. RNAcentral describes it as "partial 18S ribosomal RNA". It matches the Rfam family "Eukaryotic small subunit ribosomal RNA", at positions 1470 to 1796 of the family's 1831-position model. The record is from RNAcentral.